This 437-nucleotide long non-coding RNA is filed under the name Homo sapiens (human). Its description in RNAcentral is "HSALNT0400160". Lineage: Eukaryota; Metazoa; Chordata; Mammalia; Primates; Hominidae. The record is from RNAcentral.
GGCAACUGUCCAACAGCAGCCCAGGUCAAAGCAUAGAUGUGGUGCAAAACCCACCUGCAGGUGGAAACACAAGGUUAUCUGAGGGAAGCAACUUCAUGGGCUUUGCCAUGCCUGCCCCAGCACAGGAGGGCAGUGCUGAGCUAAGGGCUCUCCCCCACUGCCCCUGCAGGAUCCAGACACCCAGCAGCUUGCUAGAUAAGCAGGCAGAUAAGCAACUGGAUCCUGCCAUUGUUUCCCUUAGCGGAGGAAGAGGAAGACGGACAGCCCACAGCCCCUCUGCCUGCCAACAGUGCUGCCUUCUUCAACAUUCAGCCCAAAGCAAGCAGUCUAGAUUUGCUCUGGCUGGGAGAAAAAAUAAACACAGAAACUGUGAACCGAUAUGUUAGGUUGCUAAGGAAAGAGCUGCUUACAGCUUGGGGAGCUGAAAGGACACUCAC